GCAUUGGUGGUUCAGUGGUAGAAUUCUCGCCUGCCACGCGGGAGGCCCGGGUUCGGAUUCCAGCCCAUGCA
This 71-nucleotide transfer RNA is filed under the name Salmo salar (Atlantic salmon). It matches the Rfam family "tRNA". Rfam says of the family: Transfer RNA (tRNA) molecules are approximately 80 nucleotides in length. Their secondary structure includes four short double-helical elements and three loops (D, anti-codon, and T loops). Lineage: Eukaryota; Metazoa; Chordata; Actinopteri; Salmoniformes; Salmonidae. The record is from Rfam by way of RNAcentral.